GGGUCAGUAGGUUGGUCGUGCCACCGGUACGUACUGGUCUCACUGAUUCCUCCUUCCUGAAGAACCGUAGUGCCAUUAAUUUGGUGUUGCGGGGAAACAGGACUGUUACUUUGAAAAAAUUAGAGAAUUUAAAGCAAGCUAACGCUUGAAUACAUUAGCAUGGAAUAAUGAAAUAGGACGAUCGAUCCUAUUUUGUUGGUUUCUAGGAUUGACGUA
Molecule: ribosomal RNA, 216 nt
Filed under: Glomeromycotina sp.
Lineage: Eukaryota; Fungi; Glomeromycota
Description: partial small subunit ribosomal RNA
Rfam family: Eukaryotic small subunit ribosomal RNA (bases 40-216)
Source: RNAcentral